UGAGGAAAGCGAUGAGAUGCGAACGAGCGCAGUUGGUUCAAAAGCGAUUCUUGUCAUCAUUCGAGGAAUUGAUCAUGAUGGACACGUGGUAAUAAUCCACAGGGGUAGGAGCUUUUCGUGGAACGCCAGGGGUGCAAUUUCGACCGUCAGAUAUUUAAUCACGACGGGCGCGAUGAUGAACGCAGAAUAUGAUUGGAAUUGGGGUAAGAUAGUCUUUACAUGAUUGCCAUAGGGGAUAGACAUGGACCCACAAAACUUUUUUAAAAAAAUGAAAAUUUUCAGCAAAAGACGAUAAAUAUUUAGAAAAUGUUUAGACACACGAAGUCCGACUCUGUUUGUCACAAUUCUUUUUUUUUUUUUGCUACUUUUGCAAUGCUCCCUAAAAUAUUCUCUUUGUAAAAUUCAUUCUUAAUUUUGGAUGAAAUGUAUUUGUGUUUAAGGUUAGAUUAUGUCCAUUGGAUAUUGGAAGUUUCAAUAACAAAAUUAAAAGUUAACUUACUAUCAUUUAGAAGUAUUUAGAACUUUCGAUCAUUCAGAAGUAUUUAGCAAAUGUCUGUUUUGAAACUUUAUAGACCAAAUAAAUUUGAACUUCAAACCACAAGGACAAAAAAAAUGCAUUUUAUCCUCUAAUUUAAUUACAAAUAAGAUGUGAGAAUUUGGAUUUGAGAUCGAUCUCGGAUUCAAACAUGUGUCAGCUGAAUUAAACUUUUGAUGGCCACGGAAAUUCAUUCUACUUAUUACAUAAAAAAAGUUUUUAAAAAUAAUAAUAAAUUAUAAAAAAGAAAACGCCAAAAAUUCACUUCACAUACUUUUUAUGUAAAUAUUUUUGACAAUUUUCCGAAACAAAGAAACCAAUUAUGUAUUUUGCUUUAGAUUUUCAAAACUUAGUAGUUGUGAACCAUGGAGGGUGUUAUAGACUUUUUGUGUGAUUUUGGGCUUGGUAUUGUUCGUUAAAACAUAGGCAACAAGAUCAAGAAAAUAGCAAGCAACCACACCCGAAAGAGCCACGGAAGAGUUGGCCCAAGUGACACACUUGGACUCAACUAGGGAUGGGGCUGACAGAAAUGGCUGAUGGAGGUGACCCUUGUAAGCUUGGGCCCAAGAUGAGUGAAGGGAUAUCCAAAAUGGUUUGGAAUUUGGUUCCUUCUAUCUCACUUUUUAUAUUUAUGGAAUAACUUUUUUUCUUUCUUUCUUUUAUCUACUUUUCACAUGUUUAUAACUCUACGCUUUAAACGCAAAUAUACUAAUUUCAAUUAUUAUUAAAAAAUUAUCAUAUAUAUAUACACAUAUACAUAUGAAUAUACAUGCGUGUAUGUAUUGAAUACUAUCAUAUAUAUAUAUACACAUAUACAUAUGAAUAUACAUGCGUGUAUGUAUUGAAUACACUCUCAGCUAGAACAGUACACUUAAUACAUAAUAUUUAGAUUCAAACAUGUGUAAAGUGGACUAACAAGACAUAAAUAUGGAAAUAACUAGAAAAAAAAGAAAAAACCUCAAAACCUUUCGAGAUUCGAGGCAUACUUAA
This 1525-nucleotide long non-coding RNA is filed under the name Cucumis sativus (cucumber). Its description in RNAcentral is "long non-coding RNA (CSAT_LNC002452)". Lineage: Eukaryota; Viridiplantae; Streptophyta; Magnoliopsida; Cucurbitales; Cucurbitaceae. The record is from RNAcentral.